Molecule: long non-coding RNA, 241 nt
Organism: Polypterus senegalus (gray bichir)
Lineage: Eukaryota; Metazoa; Chordata; Cladistia; Polypteriformes; Polypteridae
Exons: 3
Source: RefSeq, a predicted model, not a curated record
GAUUGCCAGUGACAAUUUGGGCAUGAAGAUAAAAGAACAAAACCGACUCCUAACAAUUGUUACUACAGAGAAAGAUCAACUACAGGAAAUGAAAGCAGAAUUAGAAAAUGAACUUCGAAUACUGAAAGAAGAGCUAAAAGCAACAAAAGUUGAAAAUGAAGACAUGAAGGCAUUGAAGAGUCGCUCCACUAAUCAGCAGUUACUUCUAAAUCAACUUAUAGGUCAGCUCAAAGUUCAGGAG